AAGACCUUGCACUUUUGGAGCGGCCGAUGUCUGAUUAGCUAGUUGGUGGGGUAAUGGCCUACCAAAGCUUCGAUCAGUAGCUGAUCUGAGAGGACGGCCAGCCACACUGGGACUGAGACACGGCCCAGACUCCUACGGGAGGCAGCAGUGGGGAAUUUUGGACAAUGGGCGCAAGCCUGAUCCAGCCAUGCCGCGUGAGUGAAGAAGGCCUUCGGGUUGUAAAGCUCUUUCAGCCGGGAAGAAAAGGUUGCGAUUAAUAAUCGCAAUUUAUGACGGUACCGGAAGAAGAAGCACCGGCUAACUACGUGCCAGCAGCCGCGGUAAUACGUAGGGUGCGAGCGUUAAUCGGAAUUACUGGGCGUAAAGGGUGCGCAGGCGGUUUUGUAAGUCAGAUGUGAAAUCCCCGGGCUUAACCUGGGAACU
This 423-nucleotide ribosomal RNA is filed under the name uncultured bacterium. Its description in RNAcentral is "bacterial SSU rRNA". It matches the Rfam family "Bacterial small subunit ribosomal RNA", at positions 207 to 622 of the family's 1533-position model. The record is from RNAcentral.